UGGCAAUAAGAAAACAAACCUGUUCCUACAGUGCUUGCAAGAGCAGCUUUGAAAGGGUUUGAGGCCUUGCUCUACAGUAUCUACAGAGCAAAGUUAUAGAAAUUUCAGACAUUC
This 114-nucleotide small nucleolar RNA is filed under the name Echinops telfairi (small Madagascar hedgehog). Its description in RNAcentral is "Small nucleolar RNA SNORA9 (ENSETEG00000024890.1)". Lineage: Eukaryota; Metazoa; Chordata; Mammalia; Afrosoricida; Tenrecidae. The record is from RNAcentral.